UGGGGAAUAUUGCACAAUGGGCGCAAGCCUGAUGCAGCCAUGCCGCGUGUGUGAAGAAGGCCUUCGGGUUGUAAAGCACUUUCAGCGGGGAGGAAGGCGAUAAGGUUAAUAACCUCAUCGAUUGACGUUACCCGCAGAAGAAGCACCGGCUAACUCCGUGCCAGCAGCCGCGGUAAUACGGAGGGUGCAAGCGUUAAUCGGAAUUACUGGGCGUAAAGCGCACGCAGGCGGUUUGUUAAGUCAGAUGUGAAAUCCCCGGGCUCAACCUGGGAACUGCAUCUGAUACUGGUCAGCUAGAGUCUUGUAGAGGGGGGUAGAAUUCCAUGUGUAGCGGUGAAAUGCGUAGAGAUGUGGAGGAAUACCGGUGGCGAAGGCGGCCCCCUGGACAAAGACUGACGCUCAGGUGCGAAAGCGUGGGGAGCAAACAGG
This 429-nucleotide ribosomal RNA is filed under the name Chloroflexota bacterium. Its description in RNAcentral is "Chloroflexi bacterium partial 16S ribosomal RNA". It matches the Rfam family "Bacterial small subunit ribosomal RNA", at positions 355 to 776 of the family's 1533-position model. Lineage: Bacteria; Bacillati; Chloroflexota. The record is from RNAcentral.